UACGUAGGGGGCGAGCGUUGUCCGGAGUUACUGGGCGUAAAGCGCACGCAGGCGGUCUGCUAAGUUUGGAGUGACAGUUGGUGGCUUAACUGCCAAAGUGCUUCGAAAACUGACAGACUUGAGGGCUUCAGAGGGACACGGAAUUCCGGGUGGAGUGGUGAAAUGCGUAGAGAUCCGGAGGAACACCAAAGGCGAAGGCAGUGUCCUGGGGAGUACCUGACGCUCAGGUGCGAAAGCCAGGGGAGCGAGCGGG
This 253-nucleotide ribosomal RNA is filed under the name uncultured bacterium. RNAcentral's name for it is "partial 16S ribosomal RNA". It matches the Rfam family "Bacterial small subunit ribosomal RNA", at positions 524 to 776 of the family's 1533-position model. The record is from RNAcentral.